GCGACUAAAGCGAGAAUCAUGAAGCUUGAGUCACAUUAGAAAACUCACCUUAGAGGAAAACCUCAAGCACUGAACUAGAGGUUAAGCCACGAAGGCUCUUUCUCAAAGAAGUUAUCUCAGGAGCUAGAACACUAAAAGCAUGAGGCUUGAACCACAAAGGUAUCCACCUUAAAAGACCUUUGUAUUGGGAUCCACAUUUUCACCGCUAAAGUCACACCUUUGCUCCUUUAUUUUGAGAGACUUCCGACAAAUCUUAGAGGGAGACUUUUAUAGAGUUUCUCAUACACUUUCCUCUGUACUUUAAAAAAUAUUAUUAGAGGUUUAGAAGAUGAUGUAUUUUCUUAGAGGGAGACUUUUAUAGAGUUUCUCAUACACUUUCCUCUGUAUUUUAAAGAAUAUUAUUAGAGGUUUAGAAGAUGAUGUAUUUUCUUUGUAUGAAUUUUUCUAUCCAUUAUAAGGAGCUAAUUCUCCUAAAGUGUUUAAGGAAGAUGUAACCCUUUGAAACUCUCUUGUAAUUGAUACAAU
RNAcentral lists this long non-coding RNA (525 nucleotides) under Vigna radiata. RNAcentral describes it as "long non-coding RNA (VRAD_LNC001585)". The record is from RNAcentral. Lineage: Eukaryota; Viridiplantae; Streptophyta; Magnoliopsida; Fabales; Fabaceae.